GAAUAUUUCAAGCGUUCAGGUGCUUCCACUCCCACGGUGGAAGGUAAAAGGGAAAAGGGUGAGAAUCCCUUGCUGUCCCGCAACUGUGAACGGUGAUGAAAGCCGCAGCGAUGCCACUGGAGAGUCCUUGUUGAUGUGAAGGCGUGAAAUACGCCUUCUUCCGGGAAGGCGCGGCGAGUAAAGUGAUCCGUGAGCCAGGAAACCUGCCCGAACGCAUGAGCAGCG
This 225-nucleotide non-coding RNA is filed under the name Geobacter sulfurreducens. The record is from RNAcentral. RNAcentral also lists the same sequence under 1 other name. Lineage: Bacteria; Pseudomonadati; Thermodesulfobacteriota; Desulfuromonadia; Geobacterales; Geobacteraceae.